Molecule: ribosomal RNA, 468 nt
Filed under: uncultured bacterium
Lineage: Bacteria
Description: partial 16S ribosomal RNA
Rfam family: Bacterial small subunit ribosomal RNA
Source: RNAcentral
GACGAACGCUGGCGGCGUGCUUAACACAUGCAAGUCGAACGGAAAGGCCCUGCUGUUGUGGGGUGCUCGAGUGGCGAACGGGUGAGUAACACGUGAGUAACCUGCCCUUGACUUUGGGAUAACUUCAGGAAACUGGGGCUAAUACCGGAUAGGAGCUCCUGCUGCAUGGUGGGGGGUGGAAAGUUUCGGCGGUUGGGGAUGGACUCGCGGCUUAUCAGCUUGUUGGUGGGGUAGUGGCUUACCAAGGCUUUGACGGGUAGCCGGCCUGAGAGGGUGACCGGCCACAUUGGGACUGAGAUACGGCCCAGACUCCUACGGGAGGCAGCAGUGGGGAAUAUUGCACAGUGGGCGGAAGCCUGAUGCAGCAACGCCGCGUGCGGGAUGACGGCCUUCGGGUUGUAAACCGCUUUCGCCUGUGACGAAGCGUGAGUGACGGUAAUGGGUAAAGAAGCACCGGCUAACUACGUG